GCCAGACUCCUACGGGAGGCAGCAGUGGGGGAUAUUGCACAAUGGGGGGAACCCUGAUGCAGCGACGCCGCGUGGGUGAAGGAGUAUUUCGGUAUGUAAAGCCCUAUCGGCAGGGAAGAAGCAAGACGGUACCUGACUAAGAAGCCCCGGCUAACUACGUGCCAGCAGCCGCGGUAAUACGUAGGGGGCGAGCGUUAUCCGGAUUCACUGGGUGUAAAGGGAGCGUAGACGGCCAAGCAAGCCAGGGGUGAAAGCCCGGGGCCCAACCCCGGGACUGCCCUUGGAACUGCUUGGCUGGAGUGCGGGAGGGGCAGGCGGAAUUCCUGGUGUAGCGGUGAAAUGUGUAGAUAUCAGGAGGAACACCGGUGGCGAAGGCGGCCUGCUGGACUGCAACUGACGUUGAGGCCCGAAAGCGUGGGGAGCAAACAGGAUUAGAUACCCGGGUAU
This 447-nucleotide ribosomal RNA is filed under the name uncultured bacterium. RNAcentral's name for it is "bacterial SSU rRNA". It matches the Rfam family "Bacterial small subunit ribosomal RNA", at positions 330 to 793 of the family's 1533-position model. The record is from RNAcentral.